GCCAGCAGCUAAUUUUGCCCUGUAAAUCACAACUGGAAGCCCACAAGCUCAGUGGGUGUGAGCCUGGUCAGUACCUGGAUGGGAGACCUCCUGGGAAAGCUAAGGUUGCUGCUGGAA
This 117-nucleotide ribosomal RNA is filed under the name Lepisosteus oculatus (spotted gar). Lineage: Eukaryota; Metazoa; Chordata; Actinopteri; Semionotiformes; Lepisosteidae. The record is from RNAcentral.